Molecule: ribosomal RNA, 491 nt
Filed under: uncultured bacterium
Lineage: Bacteria
Description: partial 16S ribosomal RNA
Rfam family: Bacterial small subunit ribosomal RNA
Source: RNAcentral
GUGAACGCUGGCGGUAGGCCUAACACAUGCAAGGCGAACGGCAGCACAGUAAGAGCUUGCUCUUACGGGUGGCGAGUGGCGGACGGGUGAGGAAUACAUCGGAAUCUACUUUUUCGUGGGGGAUAACGUAGGGAAACUUACUCUAAUACCGCAUACGACCUACGGGUGAAAGCAGGGGAUCUUCGGACCUUGCGCGAUUGAAUGAGCCGAUGUCGGAUUAGCUAGUUGGCGGGGUAAAGGCCCACCAAGGCGACGAUCCGUAGCUGGUCUGAGAGGAUGAUCAGCCACACUGGAACUGAGACACGGUCCAGACUCCUACGGGAGGCAGCAGUGGGGAAUAUUCGACAAUGGGCGCAAGCCUGAUCCAGCCAUACCGCGUGGGUGAAGAAGGCCUUCGGGUUGUAAAGCCCUUUUGUUGGGAAAGAAAAGCAGCAGGUUAAUCCCCCGCUGUUCUGACGGUACCCAAAGAAUAAGCACCGGCUAACUUCGUG